GACUAUCUCAAAUAUAUAAGUAAGGUAAAACAUGUGGAUAGAGGCUAUUUAUAGCAAUAGCUACACUGAUUAUUUAUGUUAUGCUUGAUGAUUAACCUAGUAUUUCCAUAAUAAUAGUAAAACCACAUCUUAAAGUGACUGCCUCACACUGUGCCUCUGUUUCUAUCGCAAAAUUAUGACCACACUCAUUGCAAAAAGGUUAGAAAAAUACAUUUAACGCUUAGGAUUCUUUAAAAUAGAAGUAAAAUGGCAAGUCGAACCUUUACAAACUCAGGGAUUGCCAGAUAUAUUUAAAUUAUUUUGAGAAAAGAUCAUAUAAAGGCACUUCCCCCCAGGUCCUCUAAGCAGUAUAUAUAAUUUUUCUGUUAACUUACAAUAUCUACAACAACUCAAGGUCAAUUUGUUUUCAAUUUCACCACAACAAUCGUACUGGCAAACACUUUGGAGUCGAUUCUUGUAAGU
This is a long non-coding RNA of Poecilia latipinna (sailfin molly), 462 nucleotides long. RefSeq lists it as uncharacterized. The transcript is spliced from 3 exons. The record is from RefSeq and is a predicted model, not a curated record. NCBI's taxonomy places the organism in Eukaryota, Metazoa, Chordata, Actinopteri, Cyprinodontiformes, Poeciliidae.